Molecule: ribosomal RNA, 903 nt
Filed under: Psilolechia lucida
Lineage: Eukaryota; Fungi; Ascomycota; Lecanoromycetes; Lecanorales; Psilolechiaceae
Description: eukaryotic LSU rRNA
Rfam family: Eukaryotic large subunit ribosomal RNA
Source: RNAcentral
GAUUGCCUCAGUAACGGCGAGUGAAGCGGCAACAGCUCAAAUUUGAAAUCUGGCCCCCCCGGGGCCCGAGUUGUAAUUUGCAGAGGAUGUUUCGGGUGCGGCGCCGGUCUAAGUCCCUUGGAACGGGGCGUCACAGAGGGUGAGAAUCCCGUCCGCGACCGGCGACCAACCCCAUGUGAAACCCCUUCGACGAGUCGAGUUGUUUGGGAAUGCAGCUCAAAACGGGUGGUAAAUUUCAUCUAAAGCUAAAUACCGGCCAGAGACCGAUAGCGCACAAGUAGAGUGAUCGAAAGAUGAAAAGCACUUUGGAAAGAGAGUUAAAACGUACGUGAAAUUGUUGAAAGGGAAGCGCUUGCAACCAGACCUGCCCGCGGGCGAUCACCGGCUGUUCUCAGCCGUGCACUCGUCCGCGAUCAGGCCAGCAUCGGUUCCGGCGGCCGGAUAAAGGCCUUGGGAAUGUAGCUCCCCUCGGGGAGUCUUAUAGCCCUCGGUGCAAUGCGGCCAGCCGGGACCGAGGACCGCGCUCCGGCUAGGAUGCUGGCGUAAUGGUUGUAAGCGACCCGUCUUGAAACACGGACCAAGGAGUCUAACAUCUAUGCGAGUGUUUGGGUGUCAAACCCAUGCGCGUAAUGAAAGUGAACGGAGGUGGGAACCCUCGAGGGCGCACCAUCGACCGAUCCAGAUGUCUUCGGAUGGAUUUGAGUACGAGCAUAGCUGUUGGGACCCGAAAGAUGGUGAACUAUGCCUGAAUAGGGUGAAGCCAGAGGAAACUCUGGUGGAGGCUCGCAGCGGUUCUGACGUGCAAAUCGAUCGUCAAAUUUGGGUAUAGGUACGUCCACGAUCCCCCGGCACCCCCGGGGUCCGCCAUCGAAACGAAUUGAACAGGACUUAUGCUAACGAUAU